Molecule: ribosomal RNA, 316 nt
Filed under: uncultured bacterium
Lineage: Bacteria
Description: bacterial SSU rRNA
Rfam family: Bacterial small subunit ribosomal RNA
Source: RNAcentral
UUGAACGCUGGCGGCAGGCCUAACACAUGCAAGUCGAGCGGAAGAGAGGAGCUUGCUCCUCAAUUCAGCGGCGGACGGGUGAGUAAUGCCUAGGAAUCUGCCUGGUAGUGGGGGGACAACGUUUCGAAAGGAACGCUAAUACCGCAUACGUCCUACGGGAGAAAGCAGGGGACCUUCGGGCCUUGCGCUAUCAGAUGAGCCUAGGUCGGAUUAGCUAGUUGGUGAGGUAAUGGCUCACCAAGGCGACGAUCCGUAACUGGUCUGAGAGGAUGAUCAGUCACACUGGAACUGAGACACGGUCCAGACUCCUACGGGA